GGCCUUCGCCCCGUCGUGAGGAGGGCGCGCCUCCCCUCAGCCCCGCCAAAACCAGGGGGGAGGGUCCUGUUGCUUUUUAUUGAAAGCCUCAAUUAAAAUUAACCUGGGAGGGCAAUAAUAAGGAAGGAAAUGAAGGGAUGGAUGUAAAAGUAUAUGUGUGCUGCGGUGUCAUUACUUGUCGGUGGCGAUUAAGGGAGUCCUGCUGUCUGGAAAUUGGCUUUGCCUCCCAGGAAACCUGAGGAAAGCGCUGCCCUAGGUAAUGCUGCUGUAGCUCUUGGGAGAGGCUUGGAAUGAAAAAGAUACAGGGAAGUAGCUGAAAACACUGGCUGCAUCUCUGUGUCUCUUGGAGGUCACUUGCUGAUUUAUCUCCAAUUCACAGCUCAUUAGAAGGAAGGAGUGACUCCCGUGGUCAUCAGGACCAAGUGGAGAAGCUGUUUCCUGAACCGAGCUUUUCUUGCAGUGACACUGGAGGAUCUGUUAAAUCCAGUGACUCAAAAAUUAUUCAGCCGUUGAGGAAUUUCGGGAGUUAAGGCAAAGCACAGUGGCCAAGCUUGUAUGGUUUAGGAGGAAAUGCAGAGGUGAAUUUGAGAUCCUCGAAGCUGACAAGACCACGUUUGUGAACAAACAAGUUCAUUUCCACGGAAGAACUUCCCCUGUGCAUUUCAAUUUCCAUCAGAGCUGGCUGUGUGCUAUUUCCAGUGGUUGAGUUUUUCAGCCCAGACUUGGAAAUCACUCCUUCCCUCUUUAUCCUGGUGGUCCUUCCCCUCCAGGAGAAUCCCAGCUUGGAUUCCAAUGGAGCCAGCAGUGAAGGGUGGAUUUGGAGCAGUGUGAAAUUCUUGCUGGUGCUGCUGCAUCUCCUGACAGGAGAGCAGAGCCACAGAGGGGGAAACAGCAUCAACAUUCUUCAUAAAGCAGAGAAAAGAGCUGAAAGUUAUUAUGUAAAAUGGGUAAAUUGGAGUCUUUAAAGGAGCUGCCAACUUACAUUUGCCUGAGUUCCUUCAGCACUGGAGAGGAGAGGAAGAAUUCCAGACACGUCAUCCUGAUUUCACAAGUCUGCAGAGAUCUCCAGAGUGGACUUACCCAUCUGUGUGAGGAGGAAGGCUAUACAUGCAAAUUCAGAUUCCUGAUGCAUUCCCACUAACUCUGUCCUUCUGUUCUGGCAGAAUGAGGAGAAACUGGGCUGCCAAAAGGUGAAGACAAGCACUUUAUCUGCAAGAGAAUAUUCAUUUAUAGGACUUCACUGGUGACAGAGGUUUGAAAUGGGAAAUGGGCUUAAAGCCUUCUUCAGGAGAGAUUUACUCACAGUUUUCUGCAGUGUGAUUGCUUUGAGUCUGUAAGGUCAUUGUGGUUGAAGGCAUGAAGAUGAGGACAUCAAAGCCUUUGCCCACCUAUGACAAUUACUCUGGAGACAAACACAGCUCAGAAGACAAAUGUUAUGAGCUACCUGUAAGUUCUGGUUCACAAAACAGAUGAGAAUCCAGAGAUACUCCUGAACUUGGAAAUGAAAUUUAUUCUCAAGGUGGAGCCUCAUCUUGAGCAGCCUUGGGAGGGCCAAAGGUGGUUCCUUUUCCAGUUCCCUGCCUGGAUUUUAGAAGAUACCAUUUUUUAACAUCUAAACAAGGAAAUCACAGCAAUUUCCAUGGGAAGAAUCACAGAGAUGGCAGGGCUUCCCCCCAAAACACUGCCUGUGUAAUUGCUGAAGACAUUCCAAGCCACUCUAACGAAGUGCUGUCUGCCAGUCAUUAUGUUCUCCUUGGAGGACCAUCUGUUGCACUUCAAAUAUGUAAAGGUCUCUAUCAUUUAUUGCUCCAAACAAAUCCAGGCCUUUGUCUGAGGUGCUGGAGCUCCUGAAUGGAUUCUAAAGGUGGUUGCAGUCACAAAGGGCAGGGUAUUCCCUUUGGUUUUAGUCCUUCAGCUCAAAUUUCAGAGCACAAAUAUACUGGUUAAACCAAUAUCUGAAUAUUUUCAAUUUAUUUAGAAAUGAAUUAUGAACAAUAACAACUCAAAGUAUCUGAAAUAUGUUUUCAUUCAGCCAGGAGGACAUUGGAAGAUUUUUGCAUCUGGUGAACAAAUCUUUCCAUUGUAGUGGUAUCCAGAUUUGAUAUAUACUGAUAUUGGAAUGAAAAUUACCUUAUUUUAACUAAAUUAAUUAGUUUAUCUGUAUCUGAAAAUAGUGAUUCAAAGGAAUGGUAAAAAAUAGAGUCAGCAGCUUAAAAUGCUCAAGCCUUCCUUAGCACGUGUCCUUUACAAGGAUGUAAUACUUGGUUGUACAGUCAUUAUUUAUAGGUUAAUUAGGAUCCUUUCCAUGAGUAAAAUGAGCAAGAUCAAGCAUUAAAAUGUGCUGGGUUUUGUUUUUCCUGCUGAGAUUUUAAAGAGGCUGUACAGUCAGAUUGGAGAACGUGAGCAUUGCAUUUUCACAGCAGAAAAGUUCUGCUCAGAGGUUUCCAGCCACAGAAAUCCAUAACAAUUUCUGUCUGAUUAGGGAGUGGUCCUGUCUUCAUCCCUUUCUUCUCUUGCCCUUCCCCUUCUCCUUCCUGCUCAGCAGCUAAUGUUCUGGUCAGAAGUAAUAAUAUGUUAGAUCUUGAAUGUCAGUAGCCCCAGAGAUUCUGACAAGACUAUUCAUGUGCAUUCAUACGUCUUAACCAAAGCUGACACUAAAGAGAGCAAGAAUUCUCAUAUUCCUCUUUUUAUUGCUGUGCAUUAAACUCAAAUCUUCUCUUGGAGACCUCUGCUAGAAAUGACAAAUCCACCAUUUGAAAAAGGCAUUUUAGCAAGGUCUAAACAAAGCAGCUGGACAUCAAUCUGGCACAGGGCAGAGGCUCCUGUGAGAGCUCACAGUGCAAAGCUGAACUCUGCUUUACACCUUCCCAGUGCUGUGAGAGAAAUACUAAUGGGAAAUAACCAUUCCUCCUAAUCUUUUAAAAUCACUUUUUAAUUGAAAUUUAGAUUUUUUUUUUUUUUUAACUAUAGGAUAUGUCCUUAUUGGGAUAUUUGGAUUCUGGUAACUCAAGGUUGUUUUCUGAGAAACACACACUGAGUGAAUAUUCUGCUCUACCUUUUACUCUGGACAUAUUUUACACACACUUGUAGGAUGGUGUGCUGCACAUGUUUGGGUAAUUUUGCAGGGAUCUGAUUAAGUUGUUAAAGCCAGGUAGGCAAUUUUGCCAGCAGUGAUAUUUUUAAUCUUCUUUUUUAAAAUGGUUUGGUAGUAGUGACUAAGGCAGACUAGGUGGCUCUGGGCAGCUCGCCAUUUUUAGGUAGUUUAAUUUGUUAAAAAUUAUCUUUCUUCCCACCCAAAUCUCCUUGAAACCAUUUGGAGAAGAGAACUGUUGAACAGUUGCCAGUAAUAAGUCCUGCUGAGACCUCUGUAUCCUCCUGACAGAAAUGUUGGUGCCAACUGGAGACUGACUGGCACGAGUUUGAACUCUACACUACUUGAUAUAUUUGCUUCACAUGCACCAAUUACAAUAAUUACCACCUCUGCAGCUGAAGUUUAAGCACUCACUCUGCACUCCAUACCUCAGGUUGUUGGCAGUAUGUUCAAUCCUAUAAUCUCAAUUUUCUUGGAAUAAUUAAGUAGAAAAUAAAUACUUCAAAAAAUUAGGAGAGAGUCGGAAUGGAAAUCAGAGGCUGAAUAAUAGAGUUGUUUGUCAUGUUGCUAUUGUUAAGCUGCA
Molecule: long non-coding RNA, 3674 nt
Organism: Passer domesticus (house sparrow)
Lineage: Eukaryota; Metazoa; Chordata; Aves; Passeriformes; Passeridae
Exons: 11
Source: RefSeq, a predicted model, not a curated record